This 901-nucleotide ribosomal RNA is filed under the name Escherichia coli. RNAcentral describes it as "partial 23S ribosomal RNA". It matches the Rfam family "Bacterial large subunit ribosomal RNA", at positions 1917 to 2817 of the family's 2925-position model. The record is from RNAcentral. Lineage: Bacteria; Pseudomonadati; Pseudomonadota; Gammaproteobacteria; Enterobacterales; Enterobacteriaceae.
GCCCCGGUAAACGGCGGCCGUAACUAUAACGGUCCUAAGGUAGCGAAAUUCCUUGUCGGGUAAGUUCCGACCUGCACGAAUGGCGUAAUGAUGGCCAGGCUGUCUCCACCCGAGACUCAGUGAAAUUGAACUCGCUGUGAAGAUGCAGUGUACCCGCGGCAAGACGGAAAGACCCCGUGAACCUUUACUAUAGCUUGACACUGAACAUUGAGCCUUGAUGUGUAGGAUAGGUGGGAGGCUUUGAAGUGUGGACGCCAGUCUGCAUGGAGCCGACCUUGAAAUACCACCCUUUAAUGUUUGAUGUUCUAACGUUGGCCCGUAAUCCGGGUUGCGGACAGUGUCUGGUGGGUAGUUUGACUGGGGCGGUCUCCUCCUAAAGAGUAACGGAGGAGCACGAAGGUUGGCUAAUCCUGGUCGGACAUCAGGAGGUUAGUGCAAUGGCAUAAGCCAGCUUGACUGCGAGCGUGACGGCGCGAGCAGGUGCGAAAGCAGGUCAUAGUGAUCCGGUGGUUCUGAAUGGAAGGGCCAUCGCUCAACGGAUAAAAGGUACUCCGGGGAUAACAGGCUGAUACCGCCCAAGAGUUCAUAUCGACGGCGGUGUUUGGCACCUCGAUGUCGGCUCAUCACAUCCUGGGGCUGAAGUAGGUCCCAAGGGUAUGGCUGUUCGCCAUUUAAAGUGGUACGCGAGCUGGGUUUAGAACGUCGUGAGACAGUUCGGUCCCUAUCUGCCGUGGGCGCUGGAGAACUGAGGGGGGCUGCUCCUAGUACGAGAGGACCGGAGUGGACGCAUCACUGGUGUUCGGGUUGUCAUGCCAAUGGCACUGCCCGGUAGCUAAAUGCGGAAGAGAUAAGUGCUGAAAGCAUCUAAGCACGAAACUUGCCCCGAGAUGAGUUCUCCCUG